RNAcentral lists this ribosomal RNA (497 nucleotides) under uncultured bacterium. RNAcentral describes it as "partial 16S ribosomal RNA". It matches the Rfam family "Bacterial small subunit ribosomal RNA", at positions 28 to 507 of the family's 1533-position model. The record is from RNAcentral.
GAUAAACGCUGGCGGCGUGCCUAAUACAUGCAAGUCGAGCGAACAGACGAGGAGCUUGCUCCUCUGACGUUAGCGGCGGACGGGUGAGUAACACGUGGAUAACCUACCUAUAAGACUGGGAUAACUUCGGGAAACCGGAGCUAAUACCGGAUAAUAUGUUGAACCGCAUGGUUCAAUAGUGAAAGACGGUUUUGCUGUCACUUAUAGAUGGAUCCGCGCCGCAUUAGCUAGUUGGUAAGGUAACGGCUUACCAAGGCAACGAUGCGUAGCCGACCUGAGAGGGUGAUCGGCCACACUGGAACUGAGACACGGUCCAGACUCCUACGGGAGGCAGCAGUAGGGAAUCUUCCGCAAUGGGCGAAAGCCUGACGGAGCAACGCCGCGUGAGUGAUGAAGGUCUUCGGAUCGUAAAACUCUGUUAUUAGGGAAGAACAAAUGUGUAAGUAACUAUGCACGUCUUGACGGUACCUAAUCAGAAAGCCACGGCUAACUACGUG